AGCAGCCGCGGUAAUUCCAGCUCCAAUAGCGUAUAUUAAAGUUGUUGCAGUUAAAAAGCUCGUAGUUGAAUUUCGGGAUCAAUUAAUCGGUCGUGCCUCUGGUACGCACUGGUUUUAUUGGUUUCUCCCUUCUGACGAACCAGGAUGUCAUUAAUUUGGUGCCUUGGAGAAUCAGGACUGUUACUUUGAAAAAUUAGAGUGUUUAAAGCAGGCUAACGCUUGAAUACAUUAGCAUGGAAUAAUGAAAUAGGACGUUUGAUCCUAUUUUGUGGUUUCUAGGAUC
Molecule: unclassified non-coding RNA, 283 nt
Filed under: uncultured Glomus
Lineage: Eukaryota; Fungi; Glomeromycota; Glomeromycetes; Glomerales; Glomeraceae
Description: sequence contains 18S rRNA gene
Rfam family: Eukaryotic small subunit ribosomal RNA
Source: RNAcentral